CAGUCGCCGCGGUAAUACGUAGGUGGCAAGCGUUGUCCGGAAUUAUUGGGCGUAAAGGGCUCGCAGGCGGUUUCUUAAGUCUGAUGUGAAAGCCCCCGGCUCAACCGGGGAGGGUCAUUGGAAACUGGGAAACUUGAGUGCAGAAGAGGAGAGUGGAAUUCCACGUGUAGCGGUGAAAUGCAUAGAGAUGUGGAGGAACACCAGUGGCGAAGGCGACUCUCUGGUCUGUAACUGACGCUGAGGAGCGAAAGCGUGGGGAGCGAACAGGAUUAGAUACCCCUGUAGUCCCUGUCUCUUAUAC
Molecule: ribosomal RNA, 301 nt
Filed under: uncultured bacterium
Lineage: Bacteria
Description: partial 16S ribosomal RNA
Rfam family: Bacterial small subunit ribosomal RNA
Source: RNAcentral